UUAACUAAAGCCAAAGUAGAGGCUUUUCAUUGUUAAUGAAUUCACUGGAUAGUAAUCCUAGUUAAA
RNAcentral lists this transfer RNA (66 nucleotides) under Aneurus sublobatus. Its description in RNAcentral is "tRNA-Asn". Lineage: Eukaryota; Metazoa; Arthropoda; Insecta; Hemiptera; Aradidae. The record is from RNAcentral.